UUGAACAAGGGACAAACGGUGCUUGCUCCUUGCACACGGGGUUUUGUUAGGCAACGAGCGAGACCCGCACCUCUAGUUGCCAGCAGCAUCUCGCGAUGGCUGGGUACAGUAGGGGGACUGCCGCGGCCAAGGCGGAGGAAGGAACGGGCAACGGUAGGUCAGUAUGCCCCGAAUGAGCUGGGCAACACGCGGGCUACAAUGGCCGGGACAAUGGGA
Molecule: ribosomal RNA, 216 nt
Filed under: uncultured haloarchaeon
Lineage: Archaea; Methanobacteriati; Methanobacteriota; Halobacteria; Halobacteriales; Halobacteriaceae
Description: partial 16S ribosomal RNA
Rfam family: Archaeal small subunit ribosomal RNA
Source: RNAcentral